RNAcentral lists this unclassified non-coding RNA (427 nucleotides) under Hevea brasiliensis (rubber tree). Lineage: Eukaryota; Viridiplantae; Streptophyta; Magnoliopsida; Malpighiales; Euphorbiaceae. The record is from RNAcentral.
GAUGAGGCUGUGGACUUGGCUGAAAUGUUACAAGUGGUGUCCCAAGAUUGGUUCUUGGGAUUUGUGGAGAGGUUCUUGGAUGCUGAUGUGGAUUCCUCAACUUUGUCACAUAAUAGCCAAAUAGCAGGCAUGUUGACUCAGCUGAAGAGUGUGAAUGACUGGUUAGAUGGGAUUGGUUCAAGCAAGGAGGAAGGACAAACACCCCAUUUUUCAUCAGGGACAGUGGACAGGCUUAGGAAGAAGAUUUAUGAAUAUCUUCUUACGCAUGUUGAAAGUGCUGCUGCUGCAUUAGGUAGUGGAUCACAAUCAUCACCAACUCUCCGGAGUAUAGACACAAAAACCAAAAAAGUAGCUUGAUUAAUUUGCAGCUUGGCCAGUGAAAUGCAGCAUUGGUGAUGCAUGCGUAUAUCAUACCAAAAUUCCCGUU